GGGGGCGAUAUGGUUUCGACGGGGUGGUAGAAGGUCGAACUGCAUGGGGAGCAUCCUCUUUCAUCUCCUAAAACUGAAGGGGAACCCUAUAAGUGCCGAAGACAACUUCGCACUGGCUGCGUAAGUAGCCCGUCUCUCCUGCUGACACCCGCUAGGUGGGCAGAGGCGCCGAUUAGUGGGUUAGCGAGUUCGUGGCGCUCCCGCGCGACCUCGCGAAACAAACAGCGGAGCUGGCCAACGGCAAUUCCGUCCGCAGAAGUGCCGAAGGCGAGAACAAAGAGCGGACUAACCAUGUAGAUGUUCGGUUGGAAGCCAUUUCGGACGCGGGUUCGACUCCCGCCGCCUCCAUCA
RNAcentral lists this transfer-messenger RNA (351 nucleotides) under Deltaproteobacteria bacterium RIFOXYA12_FULL_61_11. It matches the Rfam family "transfer-messenger RNA". From Rfam's summary of the family: Bacterial tmRNA, also known as 10Sa RNA or SsrA, is named for its dual tRNA and mRNA-like properties. Its role is to liberate the mRNA from a stalled ribosome. The record is from RNAcentral. RNAcentral also lists the same sequence under 1 other name. Lineage: Bacteria; Deltaproteobacteria.